GUUCCACUGCAGUGUGAGGAUGACCAAUUUGGUUUCAAUGCGGUUGUGGUUAUAGGAGAAGUCUUUUUUCCUUUACGGAGAUGUACUCCAUUUAUAAGCCAUGACAGACCAAACAACCUUGCAGAAGCAGACAGAGGUCUGGAAAUAAUGAAAUACUGGAUCUGGUGGCAGUAGAUGAACAACCUUUUCCAUUCUUCACUCCAAGACCAUCUGACCAUGUGCAUCUACCGUGUACAUAUCCUAGUGUGAACAACUACCUCACUCAAGAUGUGGAGCCCUCAUGACUGAUCAAGCGUUAGUAUGAACAACCAAACAUGGUGGAUGAGGACAAACAGGAUCGGGAGGAGGACAGAGUUAAAGUGGUGUGAUAUUGCCUGAGCAUCAGCAUAACUGAACAACACAGACAGCAAAAUGAUGUUCAUCAGCAAAGAAAGAGGGUCAGGAAGGGGUGGUUGUCACAACAGCGUGCUAAGUGUUGAUGUCUCACAUCCCGUUAAACAUUUGACCUAAUAUACACAUACUGUAACCUUGCUAUUUUAUUUGCUUCCUGCUCCUGUGUUGUUUAAAUGUAUUGUACAGUUUGUAACGUUCCUGCAAAUAAUUAUAAAACAACUAUUUGAAGUUAAUAAAGAACAGAAAAU
Salmo salar (Atlantic salmon) is the source of this 641-nucleotide long non-coding RNA. RefSeq lists it as uncharacterized. The record is from RefSeq and is a predicted model, not a curated record. Lineage: Eukaryota; Metazoa; Chordata; Actinopteri; Salmoniformes; Salmonidae.